Molecule: long non-coding RNA, 207 nt
Filed under: Theobroma cacao (cacao)
Lineage: Eukaryota; Viridiplantae; Streptophyta; Magnoliopsida; Malvales; Malvaceae
Description: long non-coding RNA (TCAC_LNC005597)
Source: RNAcentral
UCUCUUUCGGCACCUUCUCUUUACUCCCAAAUGGGGCUUGUAUGACAAAAUAUAUGAAACAAAGGUAGAGUCAACUUUAAUAGAGACACAAAAAUUCAUGAUCACAAGAAAAAUUGACGUGACAUUGGCUCAUCAAUGCUAAUGAAUCUGUCCAGUUGAUGAAACUAUAGCAGGACCCCAAAGGCAUUAAGCAUAAAAUAAGAGCUG